This 310-nucleotide long non-coding RNA is filed under the name Populus trichocarpa (black cottonwood). RNAcentral describes it as "long non-coding RNA (PTRI_LNC002538)". The record is from RNAcentral. Lineage: Eukaryota; Viridiplantae; Streptophyta; Magnoliopsida; Malpighiales; Salicaceae.
UAGUGCUGGUUCUGAUGGAUCAAAUUGGCUUCCAGAUGAUAAUCUGAACAAAGGAAAAUUGGAGUACUUUUACUGGUUGAUCACGUUAUUGCAGGUUGCUAAUCUUAUUUACUACCUAUUUUGUGCAAAGAUGUAUACUUUUAAGCCAAUUCAAGUCCACAACAAAGAAAUCAGUGACUCUAAAGAAAGUGGAGUAGAGCUCGCAAACAAGGUUUAGUUGCAUUUCCUCGAUAUUUGUAAUAAUUAGGUUACACAAUUUAGCUGGUAAAGAAUCGGUGUUCCUUAGAAUAAGAAGCAUGUCAUAUAGUAU